GAAUGAUCUCUUUCUUCCAUUCCGAUUUCAAUUGACUUAUCCACUCCUUGAUAACAAACACAAGGAGGGUUACCUCUGUUAGUUUACAUUCAUGAUGUAAAUAUCUCAUAUGUAUCAAUUACGGACACUUGAGCAGUUGUAUUUAUCAAAAGAAAUAUUCACAUUCAUAGUCAAAAUUCAUUUCUAAACUAUGCUUUGAUAUUAUUAAAACUUGUUACACUUUACCUCUUCGUAAGGCAUAACAUGAUUCCGUAGCAUACUUAAUGAAUUACCGAACUUCACCUAUUGAUAACUCAUUAAAUACACUACA
RNAcentral lists this unclassified non-coding RNA (310 nucleotides) under Hevea brasiliensis (rubber tree). Lineage: Eukaryota; Viridiplantae; Streptophyta; Magnoliopsida; Malpighiales; Euphorbiaceae. The record is from RNAcentral.